UACGAAGGGGGCGAGCGUUGUUCGGAAUUACUGGGCGUAAAGGGCGCGCAGGCGGCGCACCAAGUCAGGCGUGAAAGCCCCGGGCUCAACCUGGGAAUUGCGCUUGAUACUGGGGUGCUGGAGUUCGGGAGAGGAGAGUGGAAUUCCCAGUGUAGAGGUGAAAUUCGUAGAUAUUGGGAAGAACACCGGUGGCGAAGGCGGCUCUCUGGACCGAGACUGACGCUGAGGCGCGAAAGCGUGGGGAGCAAACAGG
Molecule: ribosomal RNA, 253 nt
Filed under: uncultured bacterium
Lineage: Bacteria
Description: partial 16S ribosomal RNA
Rfam family: Bacterial small subunit ribosomal RNA
Source: RNAcentral